This 837-nucleotide unclassified non-coding RNA is filed under the name Hevea brasiliensis (rubber tree). Lineage: Eukaryota; Viridiplantae; Streptophyta; Magnoliopsida; Malpighiales; Euphorbiaceae. The record is from RNAcentral.
GGAAGAGGCAUAAAAUAGUUGGUAAAAAUAGAUGGACCCCACAUCACAGCAUCAAGUGUCAGCCUAAAAGACUUGUUAUUGAGUUAAGAUGUCCCAAUUAAGAUUGAAAUUUUACAGCUAACUAAGACUAAGACCAAGACCAAUUUCCAAAAUUUGGUCCGCUGUGAGCAUCUCCUCCUCCUUCUCGGUGGAUUGUACCUUUCCUCUCUUUCACUUCUCCUUUCUCUCCUCCCCUUUACAUUUCCUUCGUCUCAGACACUGCCUUCGCAAUUCACUCUGUUCUUUCCUUUUCUUUCAUUACAAUUCUUGCCCAUCAUGUCCGAUAGAGUCUUCCCUUCCGCUAAACCAGCCGCCAACGGCACCGCCACCAAUCCUAAUGCCAACGCAACCGCCAACCCAACUGCUCCUUCUAACAAAUCUCAUCUCAUCAACCCCACUGCCAGGCCCCCUUACCGCCCACAGCCUCACAGCCGCCGCUACCGUUCCCGUAGUGGCCGGAGCAUUUGCUGUUGCUGUUUCUUCUGGAGCUUCAUUAUCCUCUUAUUACUCAUCCUCCUCGCCGCAAUUGCUGGAGCUGCUCUUUACAUCAUCUACCGUCCCCACAGACCCACUUUCUCCAUUCCUUCCCUCCGUAUCCACCGCCUGAAUCUCACCACCUCCGCUGACUCCUCCUCGUCCCACCUCUCUACCCUCCUCAAUCUCACUAUCAUUUCGAAGAACCCCAAUUCCCAUCUCACCUUAUUCUACGACUCUCUCACUAUAUCUUCAUUCUCGAACGAUGUGUUUCUCGGGAAUGGGACGUUACCUGCUUAUAGCUUGAGCAAGAAGAACGAGACU